RNAcentral lists this long non-coding RNA (283 nucleotides) under Ananas comosus (pineapple). RNAcentral describes it as "long non-coding RNA (ACOM_LNC021149)". Lineage: Eukaryota; Viridiplantae; Streptophyta; Magnoliopsida; Poales; Bromeliaceae. The record is from RNAcentral.
CUCAAUUACCACAGGUGGUCCACAGACCAACCAUCCAACGUAGGCUUACCGCCAACCCGUCUCGAUACCACACAGCGUUUCUCAUUCGCAACGCAGACCGAAUCAUCACUUGGCGAAAGUCCUCAUUUGAGAUUUCGCACACACUCCAACCAGGAGGCCUCAACCACUCCAUAUCCUUGGGUCACAAUCACAUUUACGAUUCAUUAUAACAAGCCAUGUUCACCUCUACUUGCUCUUAAACAUCUAAGCACUCUCAAUUUCCACAAUUAUAAACAGCCUUUAC